AUCAAUCGAUCUCCUUCUUUCUUUCGUCCGCAAAGGACACCCGGUCUCCUUCCUCUUCUUCUUUGAUACAACCCUGUCUUCUUUCUCUUUUUAGUCCAAUCUUCCACUUUUCAAUCCUUUUUGUGAUACAAAUAAAUACAUCUAUUCCAUCGAACAAGCCCUCCCAAGGAGAGGACCAGCGUCGUCCCCGGCCUCUGGCGACCGGCCGGCGAGCCCAACGCCGGAGCACCACCAACACCCGCAGCCCCCAGCGCCCAGCCUUCCUACACGCUCAAGAGCGGGAGACGAACGCCCGCUCGGGAGGAGAACCCGAGUGCGCCCGCGCCACCCUGAGCCGCCACCGGGGGAAGCUCCCGCCGCUCGCCGGCGACGUGCAGGAUCCCGCGACCCCAACGCCGCCGCUCUGCCUGCCUCCUCUCUCUCUAUUUCUUCCUUCCCUUCUUCUCUGGUUCUCUCUCUCAUAUUUCUCUCUCUUCACUGUCCCGUAGCAGGAACAGCCGCUGGCGCUCGUCCCCGACCAACUCCGGUGCCCUGGCCUCACCGCCAAAGCUGGGAGCCAUCCCCACCGGCCGGAUCUGAUGCGCAGCCACCUCGCUGUUGCGCCGCCAUCACCCCUGCAACGGAUCAUCCCGCCCUCCACCUCUUUUUCGUCGGGGAGACGACGAACUCGUCCUCGAGCAUUGACCGCGCGCCCGCGUUCGUGGGCUGCAUCCACGGGCGAUCGAUCACCGCCUCAUGUACGCCGCCGGGCGUCGGACUAAUUUUCAUAAGCUUCAUUCAUAUGUGACAUCAGGAAGCUUCAAAAAACAGGAGAAGUGCAAGAAAACGUCGCCCCAAACAAAUCGCAACUUGCCAGCCUCCGCAACAGCCGUCAGAACCAUGGCUCACGGACGCCUGCUCCGCGGAUCGGCGGAUCCUUCCCUGGUGCCAUGCUUCAGCGGCUUGUGCUGCUCGGUAUCCCUCGUCCAAAUAAUCGGUAUGUCUGUUCAAAAAAAAAAAUCGGUAUGUGUCCUUCCUGCGGCUACACCUUCAGGAUUUUCACCGCCACCAUGCUUCGGAGGCUUGCUGUUGUUCUUGUCCUCUUUGCUGCUGUGCGCAAGCGCACCUACGCAUAUAUGGUUCUGGCCCAGGGAGCACAACUCUCUAACUCUUGCCCUUCUGUCGUUGAUCUAGGUAUGCACCCCCGAUGCUAUUACAGCUAAUCUCUGAUAAAGAAGUUUUUGGUCCUGAUGCAACUCAUUGACGAACGCAAUUAGGCUUGUAGACUGGCUUCCAAUCUCCAUUGAUUCUCAUUCAUGCACUGACUGCUAUUCUAAACAAUUAUUAUUAGAUAUUAAUAUUAAUGGAGCAUCAAUGUUUUUUGAAAAAAAUUAAUAAGCAGAUAACUCAAGGCUUUCAUUUUUUAUGUAGAUAAGCAGCAGGAGUAUUUCAUAGAUCACGGACCCCAUGUAGUCUGACGUUCAAGGAGGGAAUCUGGCUCAGGAUGCCUGUGUCCAUAUUGUACUUUUGAUAUCUGACUUUCAUAUUGUACUAUGAUGAUCGUGGAUCUUGUGUGCAUAUUGUACUUUUGAUGAGCUACACUUUUAAGGAAUCUGAUUUCAGGAGUCUGAUGGUCAGGUAAGUGUUAAUGUGUUAUUUAGUGUUAGUUUAGUGCAGCUGCUCCCCUGAGGCCCUGACUGGCUUCUUAGCUCCCUCUCCACUUACCUGUCAGCUGGGCGUGUUGAUUCGAUCUGUUGAUCUGGAAAAAUUGACACACUAGGACGUACACAAAAACUUUAAGGUUAGUUCGUACAUGAUUGAAUCUUCUCCGUGCAAAAACUGACAAUACACAAAUUGUAGCAAAAUCAAUGAGGAGCUGAAUCUGCAGUCUUCCCUUACCGCCCAGUAGUUCCCAAUUUAUUUUUGGAUUUUUAUUGUUAUUUGGUAAGCAUAGCACCUGAUUUACAGUGAAGUGCAUCUAUCAAUUUAAUUGUUUGACCGUUAAUACACAGUACAUCCGUGUCCAUGUCGUCAAUGUGUUGCUCGCCGACCGUACUGUUCUCGAGAUCCGCCUUGAAGACGGUGGAUCGGGCCUUCAGCACACAUCGUUCGUUAGCAUCUCCGCCUGAUGCUUCUAUAGGAAGAGAGACCCCCAUACUUAUAUUUUUAAUCCACAUGGAUAGUACAAUUUUUUUUAAUCCACAUGGAUAGUUCUGUAGAAAAAUUGUUAUUUUGUAGUCUUCUUAACUUGGCUAAUGAAUAUCCACUCUUCAUGUGACAAGAAGUGCAUGAACUUGGCUAAUGUUUAGGGGCAUAAGCAUGAUCAUGUCAAAAGUGCAUACAAGCAUCAUGUAAUUAUGUUCUUACAGAGAUAACAUUCAGUUUAGUAAUCUCUCUUGGCUGAGGGAUUUGACUACCCUUCAUCAGAGCGUGUUAGAGCUAUGGAUACUGAACUCGCAAGAUUCCUUUUUUGUAUGUCCGCAGGGAAGUGUUGACUACUUGAACAUGCUGGAAAGUGUUGACUACUUGGAGUAACUUGCAAGUAACAGAUGUUUUGACAACAAUAACUGCUACCAAUGAGGACCACUGGCAAGAUAUAGCACAACAACCUGGUCCCUGUUCCGUAAAGGUUGGCCUGAUCCCUGUUGAAAUCAAUUUGGCGUGGUACAUUAGUUGUAUUGUUCACCCUGCAUGUUUUUUUUCACUUUCCUAAAGUAUGUUUGAGUAUAGCUUAUGGUUUAUUUAUAAGCUUGUGAGUUAAUUAAAGCUCACUUGGUGGUUCUAACUAAUUAUACUAAAAUAUGACCAUGACCGAAAGAUAGAUGGAGGUUCAGAUGCAGAGUGAAAGCCUGCACCAACAAGUUGUAGUUGUAUAUGGAACCUGGCGACUUGAUGAUUGCAGCGCAGCAGACCACUAAGGCUAGGCUCCUAAGCUUGCUAAUUUGGGCGUCUGGAACCUUAAGAAUAAAGGACAGGCGUACUCGGGCCGAGAUCAACAGGCACGGUCGUGAUGGGCAUGUACGAGUGCCGCGGCCCACUGGACGGACAAGGGACCAGGCUGGAAGUUGUUUUUCAUAUUUGUUUACUUGUCAAAUAGUCCCACCUUGCUAUUUUACAUUAAUUUUUACCAGUUUAUAUACAAUUUUUAGGUUGUCAGGCAUCAAGAAGCUGCUUUGGAAAUUAAGCAAAGAAAUAAAGAAAGGAAAUAGACAUUCUUUGCAUGAGAAAUAAAGAAGGAAGAUGGUAAUUAUGUGGAGCCGGCAAGAAAGGUGAUGCAAUUCUUUAUUGGUUCCAAGCUUACGUGGAAUGUUCACCGUGUAGUGGACAUCGUUACCGACAAUGAUGACAAAGAAAAGAAGUGGUAACAGGGAUGGGGGCGCUAGGGGUGAUA
This is a long non-coding RNA of Triticum aestivum (bread wheat), 3370 nucleotides long. RefSeq lists it as uncharacterized. NCBI's taxonomy places the organism in Eukaryota, Viridiplantae, Streptophyta, Magnoliopsida, Poales, Poaceae. The record is from RefSeq and is a predicted model, not a curated record. The transcript is spliced from 4 exons.